AAUUUAUACUCGUUCAUAAACAUUUGACUGCAGAUCAUAAUAUGAUGAUGACUUCGGUUAACCUUCAACGGAAAUAUCGUGCUAACGGCGAUGAUUCGUUAGUUUUUUGUAUAGUAUACUAUAAUACGUAACUACGUAUAUUAUACACAUACAGAGUGAUCAUUAUCAGCAGUCCUUGAUAGGUAUGUCGCUUUUCAUGGUUUAAAUAAAAUAAUUUCGGAAUGCUUUUUUCAACGUUUUGGACUUAAAUUAUGGUAGAUUAGAAUAGUGAAGUUAGGUAUUUUAAAGGAAAAACAAUUCCAGAUAUGUUUUAAUUUUAGUUUUUUUAAAGUAUAGGUGAAUAUAAUGACAACAACUCGACAAUUAUUCUGGUAAAAUAAAAACCACCGGGAAAUUAUGAAUAAAUAGGUAAUAGCGAAUACUAGAAAUAAUGGUUUACCCGUACUGCAGUUCAGUAGGAAUACUGAGAAGAAAAAAAAACGGGACAGUUAUUGUAGUAUUGAAACGAAAAUCCCACGAGGAAAACGACUCCGAGUAGAAGACCCUGGAAAAUAUAUAUUGAUGAUUUAGAGAAGAAGUAUUACAAAGUUUAAGAGAUGAAAAUUUCACAAAAAAAGGUAGUUCAAGAUCAAAUUAGGCGGUAAACGUAGAUAUGGUAGUAAAAACUCGUAUAGAAGUAUGUAUGUCAGUAUGAUAGUGAAAGAAAAAGAAAAAGGGAAGUAGUCCAGCGAAAUACGGAGGCAGUGAAAUUGUAUAAAAUCAAGAAAAUAUUUAAUUUAAUUUAUUAGGAUUAAUUUAAUAAAACAGAAUAAAUAAGUACGUAGUAAUUGGCAAUUUAACAUUUUUCCACAAUAAAAGUGCUGGAAGAUUCUAUGUGACUUUUAUAUUUUUAAUGUUCGAAAUUCUUCUGCAAAAAAGUGACUUAGAUAACUUAUUAUGCACAUUGAUUUCAAUAAUUUAACAUAAUGAAAUUAACAUAAUUGAUUCAGGAAACAUAAUACAGGUUAAACCUACUUAAUUUUUUUAAUAUUUUUUUUUUUCUAAAUCACUUACAUUUUUCACAAUUUGGUGACAUCUUUUUUUUACAUGCACCCGCGAUGAAAAAUGUUAAAUAAUAUUAUGUAAAUGGGUAACCGCGGAGACUAAAAAUUAUUUGUCAGUUUUUUUGAAAAACUAGUAAUAAAUACGUAUUUACCUCACUCUGUACCUUCUCGUGAAAAAUUAUACAAUAUUAUAAGGUCGCAUUAUAUUAUGUGCGGUGCAACGUUUGUAACUGUAUGCCUAUAAUACGCUGUUAUUAUAAUCGCGCGUAUUAAUCAAUUUGAUUUCUUUGAUGAUACGUACAGCGUAAAUAUCCGUUCCCCUUGAGAUUUUCAUAACAUUUUUAUUUAAUUACUGUAGUACCUAUAGUCGUGUUUUGGUUAGGUAUUUUAUUUUCUCUCUUAUAGCUAUAAAUACGGGCAAAUCCAUAGGCGAAAAACCGAGAAAAACUAAUUAUCGAUAAAUAAUGGAAUAAUACCGCACGUACCUACCAAGUAUUAUAAACGGAAGGUGGGUAACGUACUAAAUCAAUAAUUAAACAAAGUGAAUAUUUUUUUUUUUUACAUUCUGAGUGUAACGAAGAUGCUCUUGAUAAAUACUUACUCGUAUUAUAGUCUUACGAAAACGUGUAUGUGUGUUUUUUUCUUUUUUUGUUGAUUUCAAAGGAAAAAUUCCAAGACUAAGAGGUACGGAUUCGGAAGUGGUGGGAUAUUUAUUCCCUCUAAUAAACACCGACCUUACUCAAGUCGACCGAAUAGAUUUAAUUUUUUUUUAAACACGAUCAGUUGAAUGAAAUAGUAAUUAAAUCGAAUAUUUUUACGAAAAUCGAGAAUAUUGGUCUUGGCUGCACCUACAAAAAUUAUGACUUCGCUACGGGGUCAGGGGAAAAAAGCAAUAUAUUUAUUUUACAUAUCAUAAUAUAUAAGGUAUAUUAUAAUAUAAAAGGUAAUAUUAUUGGUUGGUACUGCAUAUUAUUUAGUACUGUAUAAUAGUUAUCUACACCAUAAUUUAAUACCAUUGAAUAAAUUGUAUAGGUAUAUUCAAUGAUAAUAUUUUAAACGUUUUCAUAAAAACAAUAUUGGAGCAAGGUAUCGAAAUCUGCAGUCCAUAAUCGAAUGUAACGUAAAUUACUACUAUAAUUGUAAUGUAAGUACAAAAUAUAUAAAAAUCAACUUAAAAUAAACACAUGGCUGUAGCAUAUGGUGGAAUUAUUUAUCUUAAAAAAUCAAAACCUGCAUUGUAUUAUUAUAGGUGUGUUAUAUAAUAAGUCAUAUGAAAUAAUAGUACAUUACAUCAUGCAUUGGUACAAUAUUACAAUUUUUUUACUAAAUACAAAAAAAAAAUUGCCGAAAAUUAUUUUUGUGAAAACGUUUAAAAUAUUAUCAUUGAAUAUAUAAUAUAGUCAAUGGUAUUAAAAUAUAGUGUAGGUAUCUAUAUAUUUAUUAUAUAGUACUAUAUAAUAUGUAAUACUUACCAAUAAUAUUAAUUUUAUAUUAUAAUAUAUAUAAUAAAUUGUAUUGCUUUUUUAUUCACUCGUUUUUUUGUUUCCUUAAACUCUUUCGCUACACAUCUUUCAAUAGUUGUAUGAUUUGUUUUUAGAAUCGAAUAGCAAAACAAUACCAUAAUCUAACUCUAUAGUUCGAUAAUAAUGGGUUAGAUUACGGUAACGAGAUAAUGGCACUAUAAUUUAUAUAGAAGAUAUUAUUCGAAACAAAUAAAAUUCGCAGAAAAUAAGUUUUAAAAGAUAGCUAAAUUUUUUUUUUUUUUUUAAAUUGUUAAUUUGUAAAUUGUGUAAGGGCACCCGGGUACAAUUAAUUAGAAAAUUAUGUUUGAAGUGGGUAUUUGUAUAUUUUAUCGUCUGUAAUUUAUUAAACUCCAUCCGCUACAGUAUUUUCAAUUUUUCGUUUCAUUAUAAAUUAAUUAUAAUACGAUUAUCUAUAAUAUUCUUAAUGUUGGCCGUUUUUUUUUUUUUGUUUUUUCGUUAAAUAAUAUUAUUAAAUAUAAACACUAAACAAUAAUAUUUUUGCAGUUGGAAUGCACUCGAAAACAAGUUGUUUUCAAAAUCGUUUGAAUUAUUGCUUUUCCAUCAUUUACAUAUUAUAUUAUAAUCAAUAUUCUUCUUUUUGCAUUUUUCGGCCGCUACAGGAUCAUCCAGUCAUGUACCCAACUCUCCAAUGAUAUCCGCUUUAAUUUCCAGCCUUAUCGUCAAUUUGAAAAUUCCACGUCUAUCCGUCACAAACGGGGUCUUCCGCGUGAGAGGACUAUUUUUCCUUUCGAGUUUAUCUUCCAUUGCUUUAUUAUAUUAUGCCUACAAGCGGUUUCUGAGUCAGAACUUUUAAAUUCACCAAGCGUACCAAGCUCACUGUAAUCGUUUACUCGAGAGUAGACGAUAUUCUCUGUUUCUAAAAAACUCCCUCUGGCUCGUUGUUUUUUUUCUUAUUUUCCAUACACCGAUCUCCUUCUGUUCUGGAUAAAAAUUUUUUGUUUUAAAUUCUGAUAAAUAAUUAUUACAAAGUAUAUACAUUAUACGAAAUAAUUUUUAUUGAUAUUCAAUUUUCGAUCAUAAUAUUAGUACAAAUAGGUUUUUAUUUUCAAAUUGAAGGCCGUGUUAGGUAUUUGAUUAACCUUAAGUCACGUCUCACACGUAUAUAAUAAUAUACUUAAUUAUUAGUUCCUUAAUCAAAGAAUAUACGGGAAAGUAUGUAAAUCCAAGUGAAAUUUAGUGUGAUUAAUACCUAUAUAUUACAUAGAUAUAUAAGUACAUUCGUGUAGUAUAGUAACAGUUCUCAGUCAAUUUUCGGAUCUUUGUGUGCACCGCGUCGUAUAGAAAGUGAAACGCACACACGUUAAUGAGUCUGCAAUGUUUAUGAUUUUUAUAUAUGAAUAAAAUAUUUGUUUAAAGAUUGUCCGAAAAUUACCGACAGACUAUACGGCGUCUAUUCGCGCGUAUAGAACAAUAACAAUUAUUUAGAAACACAAAAAAUACAACUUUUUUUAUUUUAUUCACAUAGUUACGAAGUGUAUGUAAUAUGUAAAAGGCAUAACUCAACUAGCAGCUCGUUUACAGCGGGACUGGAAGAAGAAGAAUGAAAAUGAGAUAUCUAAAAUACAUAUUUAGGUAUUUAGUGUACAAUAAUUCUAUUGCAAAGCGUUUUUGCUCGAAUUAGACCUUAGAACUUAUGUACCUUCUGCCUACCUAUCUACAGUCUACAUGGGUAUGACUUACUAGUAACUAUAUACUAUACAGUACUUGUUAGAGUUUUAUCUAAAGAUAUCUAAAGACCUAGAGUAUGUAGCUGAAAUAAAAAUAUAAUUUGUUAUUGCACAAACCGUAUAUACCUUAUAAUGUAAUAAUAUGCCCGUUGUUUCAAUUGAUAAAGUUUAAAAUUGCUUUUCUUUUUUUUUUUAGAUUCGUUAUGAAAAUGCUAAUGAUUCUACUAAGACAUGUGGUUUUUUCUGUCUGUAAACAACUUUUCCGCAAAAUAUCUUAAUACUGCAAUAUUCAACAUCAAUUCUAGUUUUUCCGGUAGCAAAAUAUGUUUUAUACAUUUUUUUGAAUUUCAACGGAAUUAUACGAGCUAUUGUAAAUAGCCAAAAGCUUGGUUUCGCGUUACGAGGUUUAGAUUUACAUUUAGAACACUAUCAUUCUUGCAGUAGAAUCACGUUUGGAUUUAGGUUAGGUAAGCAAUUGUUUCCCCGUCUCUCUACGAUAAGGACGUCCCCAACACUUUGAACGAUUCCAGAUUUGUUGGAUGACGUUCAGAUUAUUUAUUAAUAAGAUGAGUGGUUUUCUUAUCAUUCACUGCAUCGAAAUCGUAUAGUUAAUAUCCUGUAACGUCAAACGCGUACCGUUUCCAAAAACGUCGGUAAUUAGAGCGUAUAUGGAAUCAGAAACGCGUUGGUAUGGCGCGUACCGAAGUAGCAUCCAAUUUUCAAAACAUUCUGGCGUUUUUCGAGUUUUAGAUAUAUUUGAAAUUUAAGCGGUUUUUUUAUUAUUAUUAUUCGGUUUUACGCGAAUGAAUUUUGUAUACGUCAAGGGAAAAUUUGAUAUAAAGUUCAUCGCAAGUAUUAUACUUAGUAGAAAAAUAUAAAAAUAAUAUUAUGCCGCAUUUCGUUGCAUUUUUUUGAAAUCGUUUGACAUUAUAGACUGUAAUAGUGGUGUCAUAUAACAGUCAUAUUCAGUAACGAUAUGUUACGUCGAUAAACGAUCUAUAAAAACCCAUCAACAAUAAACGAAAAUCGCACCUUAAUAUUUAUAUAUAAAAAAAAAAAAAAAAAAUACCGUAACAAUCAUAAAAAAAUGAGUUACAUAAUAUAAUAAAUAAAUAUAGGUAUAGGUAGGUGCCUAAUUAAAUUUAGAGAAACUGACCAGAUCGAUUUCGUGUAACAAUAAAUGUUUUGUAAACAUUACAGCCUAUAGGUACAACUAUAUUAUAUAUCUAGUGGUUAUUUUGCUGACAAUAUAAUAUAAUAUAGUAUCGAUGUAUAAUAUAAUAAUGCUAUACUUAGUUUAGGCAUGUACUGCAGCGCCCGACACAAUAUAUUAUUACGAAUUAUGGUUCUAAUUCCUUUUUGACAAAAUAUGACGCGUAAAAAAAAAAAGAAUGCUUACGAGUACCUAUAUUGGUAUACAGAUAACAUAUUAACAGUUUUUAUACGUUGUAUACGAUAUUAAUACGGUAUGCGAAAGUCUUAAAACAUAUUAUGCAAUAGCCCACAAGUAAUAUAAAAACAGAACGGCCGAGGGUGUGCCACUGUUGUAGAUGGGAAGUUCAAAAGGUAUGAUUUACACAGUUAUAGUUAUUUAAUUUGUAUUAUUAUGCAACUAUUAACCGUGUAUGGCUCAUAAACCCCCCUCCCAUUUUGAACAGAGUAUUAUAAGUCAUAUUUUUUGUAUUCAGGGAUAAUUUAUUAACAAUAACUACUUUGGAAAAAUUAUUAAAUUACUAGAUACGCAUCAUUAAUAUUAUUAAUCGAAAAGAUAAGACACUAGCUUAGUGCCCACAAACCGGAACGAGAGACGAUCACCAAUCACAUAAAAACAUCUCGCAAUCAUUAUAUAAGAUAAAGUGUUGCGAACAACAUAAACGGAUAUUUUUGAAAAAAAAAAAUGUAGAUUCUGAGCGAAUAGUGGGGAUUGCAUUGGUUUUACUAUAAUGUGUGUUUAUUAGUUUUUUGUGUGUCCGUAAAAAAAUUUUUUUACAAAAAGUCUUACUCCAAUCCUCUUUUGUUGCAUUUCGGAUCUAGUUAGUGCAUUGAAGAGGUUAAUAUUUUGAUUUUCAAAAUGAUUUUCAUAAUAAUUGGAAAACCCGGAAAAUAACGGACAAAUAUGAUUAUUCUCAUUGAUAAGGGAAAAUUUUUUUUUUUGUUAUACUUAAAAAAAAUCGUGAACAUUUCGACCUUAGAAAAUGUUUUAUAAUAGUUACUAGUUAUCGAGAUACUAUCAAUGCAGAUUUUAUAUAAAUAGAAAACUUAAUUUUAUAAUAUUAUAACGCACUUUUGACCUCGAUCGUGAGAUAUUUCUGUACUAAUAUAUUAUUGAGUUUUACAUACCCAGUGAAAUUAAUUAUAAUUAUAAUUAAAAUGUUUCGUCUUUGACUUAAAACAAUGGUGUGUUAUUUUUUUGUGUGAGCACCAGCAAUUUUAUAUACUUACAACAACCAUAGUUCUUUUGAAUAAAUCUAUAGUAAAAUUGCUAUCAUUUAAUCAGUUACUAUGCAGUCUUACGCCUUUGACUACCCGCACUCCACAAUAAGCCACCCGUAAUACACAAUAUUGUUAACGUUACGCCAUUGAUGAAUCAAAUUAUCCUAGCUGUAGACAAAAAAAUUUAGAUGUGUUUAUGUUUUAUUCGUUUUAGUAAUAUGUAGCUACACAAUAUUUCAACAUAUUUAUUUUGGUUGUGAAAUAUACCAAUUAGUUAUAUAAACAACCUAUACUGUCAAUUAGGUGUUUACCUAUAUACUUAGGUAGUUGAUGUAUUUCGUUUUAUACUGCACAUUAAUAAUUAUUGCUUGUAGUUAUCUACAGAUACUAUGAACACACGCGCAAUAUUAUAAUGCUUAUUAUUACGAAAAGUGUGCCGAACGUUAUUUAUUUUUUUUUAUGUUGUCAAAUACGAAAAAGAAAUUGUACUUUUAUUAACUCUUUAUUAGAUUCUAUUAUUUUAAUAUAAACGUAUGUGAAAUAUUGAGAAAAAUAAUCUUUAACUUUCUGAAUUGUAAAAAGGUAAUAACUAACUGAAGGACUGAUUUUGCUGAUGUGUGUUGGAAGGGAAGAUAUACAGAGUAAUUACAUUUGUAAUUGUACGCAAAAAUAAAUCGUUGCUAAGCAAAGUAUUAUGAAUCAAAAUUUUGCCUUGUUGUUAGUUACCCAGAAAUCAACAAAAAUUAUACAAACAUUUGCUAGUUUUUCCUAUUUAUUAAGAAAACUGCAAUUAAAAUUUAAAAAUUAACCUCUUAAAUGGACCAACCAGUUCAAAAAUGCUAUAAGAAAAUUACUAUAAAGAGUUUGAUGGGAAAUCGGAAUCUAAAAUAUACCGUGUCAAAUAAUUUUAGGUUUCUGAAAUAUAAUUAUAAAUAUAUAUUUUUUUUUUCUAGGAUUUUCUUUGCUUUAUAAAGAUAAAAAAUUCAAACUUAUCCGCACGGUUCGGCCGAACGUAAUUCCCUAUAUCUGCGAGGUUAGUUCUUCUUCCGCAAUAGCUGACGAUAAUCUGCAUUCUUCGUCCAACAACGACGACGUUUUAUAUAGACAAAUUUUAGAAAAAAAAAAAAAGUAUAAUGACAUAAAAUUUCGACCUAUACUCGACUGCGAAACACUGCAACUAUUAUAUUAUUAUUAUCAUUUGAUGCCAUUCGCCUGCAGUUUGGAUUCAGCACACAUUCUUAUAUAUUAUUAUAUUCCCAUUCACCCGGUCCUCCUAUGACUUUCAUUCUUGCAGUAAACGCGGACGAGAAGAAAAAAACAAUAUCGCUACAACACACUUGAUGCGUGUUUGGUCUAAACUGCCACGGUAUGGAACCGUACCGAUAACAACCGGUUUUUCGGGGAGAACGAUUCGCGUUUCGACAGUUCGCGCGAACGAACUAAAAUGAAAAAUAUUGAGAUACUAGUCUACAAACGGUAGAUCCCGAUGAGAAAAGUUAAUUGUUGGUUGUUUUUUUGUUCUUUGUAAAUACCUAUAAUACCUAUGUAAACACAUAAUCCAAUAUUGUGGAAACGUUUCCCCGCCUUGAGUGUUUUCGGUCAAAUAUCGCUCGUAUGAUCUCAUUACUAUUAACAAUGGACACUCAGUUAUCAAAUAAACAUUGCCGAAAUCAUCGAUGAAUACAUGUUAUUAUUAUAAAGAGUACAAAAAUAACGCUCUGUAAAAAUUUCAACGAAAAUAUUUCGCACCGAUGAAUAUAUACACGAGGCGUUCGUUUGUAUAAAUAUUUACAGUCUGAGUAAACAACUGCAGCAGCGGACUGUGAUAUUGUUAUGACGAAACUACUGCAGUCUAUCGCAAGUUAUUUUUCUUCGUUCAUUUGUGAUUCGCUUACGACACGUUUUUAAAAGGUUUUAUAAUAAUGUGCCAUUUCGGACUUAUGGCCACGAACAUCCAUAUUAAUAAUAACGACGAUCCAUCAUCAUUCGUUUCGAAAAUGACUCUACUGACGUCCACGGUAAUUCACGCUAAAUAAUAAUAAUAAUAAUAAUAAUAAUUCGCAAUUAAACCGUUAAUAAUUAUAUUAAUUAUAAUCCACUAUCAAAUUACAGCUCAAAGUUCCAUCGCAAAUUUUUGGAGGAUUAGAAAUGAAAAACAAACAACCGAUAAAUCGUUGCAAAUGAAAGCCGAUCCGAUUAAACGAGAAUUAAAAAACUUUAAUUUGAAAUUAGUAUUAAUUUGCAAUAACUCUAAAAGCAAUAUUUCCGUUUUUUCUUUAGGUUUUUCUCAUUAUUAAAAAAGAACACCAAGGAAAAAAAAUAAACACCUCUCUGCACAUCAACUAUAAGGACAAAUAUUUCUUCCAGAAACCACCCUCGGAGUUGAUGAUCAGAGUAAGAAAAUAGCACGCAUAUCAUAUUAUAGUACUAUUAUAGUAAAGUCUUCCAUUGGAAAGGAGGUCUCUAUAAAAUUAUAUUGUAACUGUUUGGCUGUACACGAAUGAUUUCGAAUAAAAAAAAAAAUAUAUAUAUACGAUGAUAAUUUAUUACUUUCUAUAAUUACGUACAUAUUAAAUUUACUCGAUUAUUUUAAUUAUUUCGAAAAUAAUUAGGAUUUUAAUAAUAUACCUCAAUGGUGGCGUAGUGCGUGAGGAGGUGUUAUUAUAUUAUAAUAUAUAUUUAGAUUCUGAAUGAAGUUCAUUGAUUUGGUUAUUGGUUUUAACUAUGACGUUUAUUUUAUUUUUAUUUUUUUUGUUAACAACUUUUCUACCAAAACAUUUGUUCCAAUUAAAAACUUUAUAACAAAUAUAUUGUCAAAUUUGUAAUCUGGUCGAUACAUCAAGGAGCUCAUUUUUUGAUUUUGCUUGUAC
Cinara cedri is the source of this 9557-nucleotide non-coding RNA. NCBI's taxonomy places the organism in Eukaryota, Metazoa, Arthropoda, Insecta, Hemiptera, Aphididae. The record is from the annotation of a GenBank genome assembly.